AUGUGAUCGUCUCUCGCAUAUCAAUAAGCGGAGGAAAAGAAACUAACAAGGAUUCCCCUAGUAACGGCGAGUGAAGCGGGAAGAGCUCAAAUUUGAAAUCUUAAAGGGUUUCCCUUUACGAAUUGUAGUUUAAAGAAGUGUUUUCUGUUGAGGUUUUGGUAAAAGUUCUUUGGAAUAGGACAUCAUAGAGGGUGAGAAUCCCGUAUUUGACCUUUACUUUCAACUUUGUGAUACACUUUCAAAGAGUCGGAUUGUUUGGGAAUGCAGUCCAAAAUGGGUGGUAAAUUUCAUCUAAAGCUAAAUAUUGGCGAGAGACCGAUAGCGAACAAGUACCGUGAGGGAAAGAUGAAAAGAACUUUGAAAAGAGAGUUAAACAGUACGUGAAAUUGUCAAAAGGGAAGCGUUUGACACCAGUGUUGUUUUUCUGAAAAUCAAUUAAAGAACUGUUUAUGCUAAGUUGUUUAGACUUUAUCAGCUAACUGUUUAGUUUUGAGCUUUUCUUUAAUGCACUUUUCAGUUAACAAGUCAACAUCAAUUUCUUUUGCUGUAAAAAAGCUUGAGGAAGGUGGCUUGAGAUUCGUCUUAAGUGUUUAUAGCCUCUUGCCUAUGCAGUCGGAGAGAUUGAGGUCUGCAGCGUAGAUCCUUCGGGGCUAAAUGCAUUUGUGCUAAGUUAUAGCAUUUUAUAGACAACUUGUUGACUAUGAUUUGUCUUGUAGCUUACUCGCUUAUGUUAUUUUACCUACGCUUAGGAUGUUGAAGAUAUGCGCGACACG
RNAcentral lists this ribosomal RNA (773 nucleotides) under uncultured Neocallimastigales. RNAcentral describes it as "partial large subunit ribosomal RNA". It matches the Rfam family "Eukaryotic large subunit ribosomal RNA", at positions 24 to 644 of the family's 3401-position model. The record is from RNAcentral. Lineage: Eukaryota; Fungi; Neocallimastigomycota; Neocallimastigomycetes; Neocallimastigales.